RNAcentral lists this ribosomal RNA (863 nucleotides) under uncultured organism. RNAcentral's name for it is "bacterial SSU rRNA". It matches the Rfam family "Bacterial small subunit ribosomal RNA", at positions 1 to 918 of the family's 1533-position model. The record is from RNAcentral.
UUCGCCCUUAGAGUUUGAUCCUGGCUCAGAACGAACGCUGGCGGCAGGCCUAACACAUGCAAGUCGAACGACACAGUGGCAGACGGGUGAGUAACGCGUGGGAACGUGCCCUUCACUACGGAAUAGCUCCGGGAAACUGGUGGUAAUACCGUAUACGCCCUUCGGGGGAAAGAUUUAUCGGUGAAGGAUCGGCCCGCGUUAGAUUAGAUAGUUGGUGGGGUAAUGGCCUACCAAGUCUACGAUCUAUAGCUGGUCUGAGAGGAUGAUCAGCCACACUGGGACUGAGACACGGCCCAGACUCCUACGGGAGGCAGCAGUGGGGAAUCUUGCACAAUGGGCGAAAGCCUGAUGCAGCCAUGCCGCGUGAAUGAUGAAGGCCUUAGGGUUGUAAAAUUCUUUCAUCAGGGACGAUAAUGACGGUACCUGAAGAAGAAGCCCCGGCUAACUUCGUGCCAGCAGCCGCGGUAAUACGAAGAGGGCUAGCGUUGUUCGGAAUUACUGGGCGUAAAGCGCACGUAGGCGGACUUUUAAGUCUGGGGUGAAAGCCCGGAGCUCAACUCCGGAACUGCCUUGGAUACUGGAAGUCUUGAGGGUGGAAGAGGUAAGUGGAAUACCGAGUGUAGAGGUGAAAUUCGUAGAUAUUCGGUGGAACACUAGUGGCGAAGGCGACUUACUGGUCCAUUUCUGACGCUGAGGUGCGAAAGUGUGGGGAGCAAACAGGAUUAGAUACCCUGGUAGUCCACACCGUAAACGAUGAGGGCUAGUUGUCGGCAGGUUUACCUGUCGGUGACGCAGCUAACGCAUUAAGCUCUCCGCCUGGGGGAGUACGGCCGCAAGGUUAAAACUCAAAGAAAUUGACGGGG